This 269-nucleotide ribosomal RNA is filed under the name Olleya sediminilitoris. Its description in RNAcentral is "Olleya sp. YSTF-M6 partial 23S ribosomal RNA". It matches the Rfam family "Bacterial large subunit ribosomal RNA", at positions 1 to 285 of the family's 2925-position model. The record is from RNAcentral. Lineage: Bacteria; Pseudomonadati; Bacteroidota; Flavobacteriia; Flavobacteriales; Flavobacteriaceae.
AAUAAGCUAAAUAAGAGCGUAUGGGGAAUGCCUAGGCUCUCAGAGGCGAUGAAGGACGUGAUAAGCUGCGAAAAGCUACGGGGAUUGGCACAUACAAGUUGAUCCGUAGAUAUCCGAAUGGGGCAACCCAGCAUGUUGAAGACAUGUUACACCGUAAGGUGAGCAAACCCGGAGAACUGAAACAUCUAAGUACCCGGAGGAGAAGAAAACAAAAGUGAUUCCGUUAGUAGUGGCGAGCGAACGCGGAUUAGCCCAAACCAGUAAUGUUA